Molecule: unclassified non-coding RNA, 344 nt
Filed under: soil metagenome
Description: partial contains 5.8S ribosomal RNA, internal transcribed spacer 2, and large subunit ribosomal RNA
Rfam family: 5.8S ribosomal RNA (bases 1-120)
Source: RNAcentral
GAUGAAGAACGCAGCGAAAUGCGAUAAGUAAUGUGAAUUGCAGAAUUCAGUGAAUCAUCGAGUCUUUGAACGCACAUUGCGCCCCCUGGUAUUCCGGGGGGCAUGCCUGUCCGAGCGUCAUUGCUGCCCUCAAGCACGGCUUGUGUGUUGGGCCCCGUCCCCUCCCCCGGGGACGGGCCCGAAAGGCAGCGGCGGCACCGCGUCCGAUCCUCGAGCGUAUGGGGCUUUGUCACCCGCUCUGUAGGCCCGGACGGCGCCAGCCGACACCCAACUUUUAUUUCUAAGGUUGACCUCGGAUCAGGUAGGGAUACCCGCUGAACUUAAGCAUAUCAAUAAGCGGAGGA